This 373-nucleotide ribosomal RNA is filed under the name Peptostreptococcus stomatis. RNAcentral's name for it is "bacterial SSU rRNA". It matches the Rfam family "Bacterial small subunit ribosomal RNA", at positions 383 to 774 of the family's 1533-position model. The record is from RNAcentral. Lineage: Bacteria; Bacillati; Bacillota; Clostridia; Peptostreptococcales; Peptostreptococcaceae.
CUGAUGCAGCACGCCGCGUGACGAUAGAGGUCUUCGGAUCGUAAAGUUCUGUUGCAUGGGAAGAUAAUGACGGUAUCCCUAGUGAGGAAGCCCCGGCUAACUACGUGCCAGCAGCCGCGGUAAUACGUAUGGGGCUAGCGUUAUCCGGAUUUACUGGGCGUAAAGGGUGCGUAGGUGGUCCUUCAAGUCGGUGGUUAAAGGCUGCGGCUCAACCUUAUUAAGCCGCCGAAACUGGAGGACUUGAGUGCAGGAGAGGAAAGUGGAAUUCCCAGUGUAGCGGUGAAAUGCGUAGAUAUUGGGAGGAACACCGGUGGCGAAGGCGACUUUCUGGACUGUUACUGACACUGAGGCACGAAAGCGUGGGUAGCAAACA